This is a long non-coding RNA of Clupea harengus (Atlantic herring), 1280 nucleotides long. The record is from Ensembl. Lineage: Eukaryota; Metazoa; Chordata; Actinopteri; Clupeiformes; Clupeidae.
GGUGCUGUAAGCUUUUCUGUCUCUGCCUCCCAGCGCGCCCCUGCUGGCCGCAGCAGUCAGCACAAUUCAGCCAGUUAAACUUGGAACACUCUUUUGUGUUUAUUUUUUUCUUUCUUUCUUUCUGCCUAUCUGUUAGUCUGUCUGUGUGUCUGUGUGUCUGCCUGCCUGUCUGUCUGCACGUCCCGAGCCACGUGAGCUUUAUGAGGCCGACUUUGUCAGGCAGUAAUUGCUUACGGCCAUACCACACUGAGCACGCCCGAUCUCGUCCGAUCUCGGAAGCUAAGCAGUGUCGGGCCUGGUUAGUACUUGGAUGGGAGACCGCCUGGGAAUACCAGGUGCUGUAAGCUUUUCUGUCUCUGCCUCCCAGCGCGCCCCUGCUGGCCGCAGCAGUCAGCACAAUUCAGCCAGUUAAACUUGGAACACUCUUUUGUGUUUUUUUUUUUCUUUCUUUCUUUCUGCCUGUCUGUUAGUCUGUCUGUCUGUCUGUCUGUGUGUCUGUGUGUCUGCCUGCCUGUCUGUCUGCACGUCCCGAGCCACGUGAGCUUUAUGAGGCCGACUUUGUCAGGCAGUAAUUGCUUACGGCCAUACCACACUGAGCACGCCCGAUCUCGUCCGAUCUCGGAAGCUAAGCAUUGUCGGGCCUGGUUAGUACUUGGAUGGGAGACCGCCUGGGAAUACCAGGUGCUGUAAGCUUUUCUGUCUCUGCCUCCCAGUGCGCCCCUGCUGGCCGCAGCAGUCAGCACAAUUCAGCCAGUUAAACUUGGAACACUCUUUUGUGUUUUUUCUUUUCUUUCUUUCUUUCUGCCUAUCUGUUAGUCUGUCUGUGUGUCUGUGUGUCUGUGUGUCUGCCUGCCUGUCUGUCUGCACGUCCCGAGCCACGUGAGCUUCAUGAGGCCGACUUUGUCAGGCAGUAAUUGCUUACGGCCAUACCACACUGAGCACGCCCGAUCUUGUCCGAUCUCGGAAGCUAAGCAGUGUCGGGCCUGGUUAGUACUUGGAUGGGAGACCGCCUGGGAAUGGCUCAUGACCCCCCCAAGUACAUAUUGCUCAACACUGGGAUCGAUCGAAAAUGAUCAAAACGGAUGGUUCCAUCUGGUGGUCAGUGUUAUUUACAGAAAUUGUCAUGUACAAGGCCUGGUUUAUUGAAAUAUACUAGUCUGCUGAAUGUUUUGUUUAUUAUUUUCAUAGUUACAUUUUUGGGCUGAAUUAAGAAAAGGUGUCAUGUAUCAGUACACUCUCACUUUGUCUGGAAGAUGUGGUGGCCAAUACUAAGUCUUAAA